CAGCAGCCGCGGUAAUACGAAGGGGGCUAGCGUUGCUCGGAAUGACUGGGCGUAAAGGGCGCGUAGGCGGCGAUCAAAGUCAGGCGUGAAAUUCCUGGGCUCAACCUGGGGGCUGCGCUUGAUACUUGGUUGCUUGAGUGGGGAAGCGGGUCGUGGAAUUCCCAGUGUAGAGGUGAAAUUCGUAGAUAUUGGGAAGAACACCGGUGGCGAAGGCGGCGACCUGGUCCUUGACUGACGCUGAGGCGCGAAAGCGUGGGGAGCAAACAGGAUUAGAUACCCCCGUAGUCCCUGUCUCUUAUAA
Molecule: ribosomal RNA, 301 nt
Filed under: uncultured bacterium
Lineage: Bacteria
Description: partial 16S ribosomal RNA
Rfam family: Bacterial small subunit ribosomal RNA
Source: RNAcentral